GAGUUUUGAUCGUGGCUCAGAGUGAACGCUGGCGGCAGGCCUAACACAUGCAAGUCGAACGGCAGCACAGCAGUAGCAAUACUGUGGGUGGCGAGUGGCGGACGGGUGAGGAAUGCAUCGGAAUCUGCCUAUUUGUGGGGGAUAACGUAGGGAAACUUACGCUAAUACCGCAUACGUCCUACGGGAGAAAGUGGGGGACCGCAAGGCCUCACGCAGAUAGAUGAGCCGAUGCCGGAUUAGCUAGUUGGCGGGGUAAAGGCCCACCAAGGCGACGAUCCGUAGCUGGUCUGAGAGGAUGAUCAGCCACACUGGAACUGAGACACGGUCCAGACUCCUACGGGAGGCAGCAGUGGGGAAUAUUGGACAAUGGGCGCAAGCCUGAUCCAGCCAUGCCGCGUGUGUGAAGAGGGCCUU
Molecule: ribosomal RNA, 414 nt
Filed under: uncultured Gammaproteobacteria bacterium
Lineage: Bacteria; Pseudomonadati; Pseudomonadota; Gammaproteobacteria
Description: bacterial SSU rRNA
Rfam family: Bacterial small subunit ribosomal RNA
Source: RNAcentral